Molecule: ribosomal RNA, 497 nt
Filed under: uncultured bacterium
Lineage: Bacteria
Description: partial 16S ribosomal RNA
Rfam family: Bacterial small subunit ribosomal RNA
Source: RNAcentral
GAUGAACGCUGGCGGCGUGCCUAAUACAUGCAAGUCGAGCGAACGGACGAGAAGCUUGCUUCUCUGAUGUUAGCGGCGGACGGGUGAGUAACACGUGGAUAACCUACCUAUAAGACUGGGAUAACUUCGGGAAACCGGAGCUAGUACCGGAUAAUAUUUUGAACCGCAUGGUUCAAAAGUGAAAGACGGUCUUGCUGUCACUUAUAGAUGGAUCCGCGCUGCAUUAGCUAGUUGGUAAGGUAACGGCUUACCAAGGCAACGAUGCAUAGCCGACCUGAGAGGGUGAUCGGCCACACUGGAACUGAGACACGGUCCAGACUCCUACGGGAGGCAGCAGUAGGGAAUCUUCCGCAAUGGGCGAAAGCCUGACGGAGCAACGCCGCGUGAGUGAUGAAGGUCUUCGGAUCGUAAAACUCUGUUAUUAGGGAAGAACAUAUGUGUAAGUAACUGUGCACAUCUUGACGGUACCUAAUCAGAAAGCCACAGCUAACUACGUG